UGGGGAAUAUUGGGCAAUGGGCGCAAGCCUGACCCAGCGACGCCGCGUGCGGGAUGAAGGCCUUCGGGUUGUAAACCGCUUUCAGCGGGGACGAAGCGAAAGUGACGGUACCCGCAGAAGAAGCCCCGGCUAACUACGUGCCAGCAGCCGCGGUAAGACGUAGGGGGCGAGCGUUGUCCGGAUUUAUUGGGCGUAAAGCGCGCGCAGGCGGCCAGGCAAGUCGGAUGUGAAAACACGAGGCUCAACCUCGUGCCUGCAUUCGAUACUGCUUGGCUAGAGGCAGGUAGGGGAGAUCGGAAUUCCCGGUGUAGCGGUGAAAUGCGCAGAUAUCGGGAGGAACACCGGUGGCGAAGGCGGAUCUCUGGGCCUGUCCUGACGCUCAGGCGCGAAAGCUGGGGGAGCGAACAGG
RNAcentral lists this ribosomal RNA (409 nucleotides) under uncultured bacterium. RNAcentral describes it as "bacterial SSU rRNA". It matches the Rfam family "Bacterial small subunit ribosomal RNA", at positions 355 to 776 of the family's 1533-position model. The record is from RNAcentral.